This 1046-nucleotide ribosomal RNA is filed under the name uncultured bacterium. RNAcentral describes it as "bacterial SSU rRNA". It matches the Rfam family "Bacterial small subunit ribosomal RNA", at positions 310 to 1396 of the family's 1533-position model. The record is from RNAcentral.
UUACUAGUCAUAUGGAUUCCUACGGGAGGCAGCAGUAAGGAAUAUUCCACAAUGGGCGAAAGCCUGAUGGAGCAACGCCGCGUGCAGGAUGAAGGCUUUCGGGUCGUAAACUGCUUUUAUGUGCGAGGAUUAUGACAGUAACACAUGAAUAAGGAUCGGCUAACUACGUGCCAGCAGCCGCGGUCAUACGUAGGAUCCAAGCGUCAUCCGGAAUUACUGGGCGUAAAGAGUUGCGUAGGUGGCAAAGUAAGUAAGGCGUGAAAGCAUCCCGCUCAACGGGAUAAACAUGCUUUAAACUGCUUAGCUAGAGAACGAGAGAGGUAGAUGGAAUUCCCAGUGUAGGAGUGAAAUCCGUAGAUAUUGGGAGGAACACCGAUGGCGUAGGCAGUCUACUGGCUCGUUUCUGACACUAAGGCACGAAAGCGUGGGUAGCAAACAGGAUUAGAUACCCUGGUAGUCCACGCUGUAAACUAUGGGUGCUAGCUGUUAGAAGUAUCGACCCUUCUAGUAGCGAAGCUAACGCGUUAAGCAUCCCGCCUGUGGAGUACGGUCGCAAGACUAAAACAUAAAGGAAUUGACGGGGACCCGCACAAGCGGUGGAGCGUGUUGUUUAAUUCGAUGGUAAGCGAAGAACCUUACCCAGGCUUGACUUCCUUGGAAGUUCUGCGAAAGCAGAGUGUGCCUUCGGGAACCAAGUGACAGGUGGUGCAUGGCCGUCUUCAGCUCGUGUCGUGAGAUGUUUGGUUAAGUCCAUUAACGAGCGCAACCCUUAUAGUUAGUUGAAUUUUUCUAGCUAGACUGCCCUGGCAACAGGGAGGAAGGAGGGGAUGAUGUCAGGUCAGUAUCUCCCUUACGUCCGGGGCUACAAACACGCUACAAUGGCCGGUACAAAGGGCAGCCAACCCGCGAGGGGGAGCUAAUCCUAUCAAAACCGGUCUCAGUUCGGAUUGCAGGCUGAAACUCGCCUGCAUGAAGUCGGAAUCGCUAGUAACGGUAGGUCAGCACACUACCGUGAAUACGUUCCCGGGCCUUGUACACACCGCCAU